This 72-nucleotide transfer RNA is filed under the name Camelus bactrianus (Bactrian camel). It matches the Rfam family "tRNA". Rfam says of the family: Transfer RNA (tRNA) molecules are approximately 80 nucleotides in length. Their secondary structure includes four short double-helical elements and three loops (D, anti-codon, and T loops). Further hydrogen bonds mediate the characteristic L-shaped molecular structure. tRNAs have two regions of fundamental functional importance: the anti-codon, which is responsible for specific mRNA codon recognition, and the 3' end, to which the tRNAs corresponding amino acid is attached (by aminoacyl-tRNA synthetases). tRNAs cope with the degeneracy of the genetic code in two manners: having more than one tRNA (with a specific anti-codon) for a particular amino acid; and 'wobble' base-pairing, i.e. permitting non-standard base-pairing at the 3rd anti-codon position. The record is from Rfam by way of RNAcentral. RNAcentral also lists the same sequence under 1 other name. Lineage: Eukaryota; Metazoa; Chordata; Mammalia; Artiodactyla; Camelidae.
GUGGGUAUAGUUCAAUGGUAGAGUGCAUGCUUAGCAUGCACAAGGUCCAGGGUUCUAUCCCUAGUACCUCCA